UACGUAGGGGGCGAGCGUUGUCCGGAUUUAUUGGGCGUAAAGAGCUCGUAGGCGGUUUGGCAAGUCGGGUGUGAAAACUCCGGGCUCAACCCGGAGACGCCACUCGAUACUGCUAUGACUUGAGUCCGGUAGGGGAGUGCGGAAUUCCUGGUGUAGCGGUGAAAUGCGCAGAUAUCAGGAGGAACACCGGUGGCGAAGGCGGCACUCUGGGCCGGUACUGACGCUGAGGAGCGAAAGCGUGGGGAGCGAACAGG
Molecule: ribosomal RNA, 254 nt
Filed under: uncultured bacterium
Lineage: Bacteria
Description: partial 16S ribosomal RNA
Rfam family: Bacterial small subunit ribosomal RNA
Source: RNAcentral